GAGAGCUUUGCACGCACAGAAAGUUUCCCUAUCAAAUAGGGCACAACCAAAAUAAGACAAAAACGUUUCUUUGUUUUAAAGAGAUGGGAAGGAGUAACACAGUGGCCAGACAGACGGAAUCUAAGAAACCUCCGAAGAGAAAAAGAAAGGAACGGGCGGCGGAAUCCCCGCGGGACCGGAGACAGGCUGCAUACUCCUAAGGACUUGUUGCCAGAUUGCUCUGUCCUAGAGCCGCUCGUGAUCCCCAGCCUGUGUGGCUGUGCCUCGGCUUCUUGGCAGCCUGUGGUUCCGGUGCUUGCAUUCACGUGUCUGCAGAGGAGGCUGCAACCUGCCCCACCCCCAUUUUCUGCUCUGCCUUUUCAUUGUCCACAGGACUUAGAAACUCCCAGUAUACUAGUCAAUUCACAUAAUAAAAUAGUUACUAUUAUUAUUUUA
Equus quagga is the source of this 435-nucleotide long non-coding RNA. RefSeq lists it as uncharacterized. Lineage: Eukaryota; Metazoa; Chordata; Mammalia; Perissodactyla; Equidae. The transcript is spliced from 2 exons. The record is from RefSeq and is a predicted model, not a curated record.